UGCAUGUAAACUAAUAAAUA
Molecule: small nuclear RNA, 20 nt
Filed under: Arabidopsis thaliana (thale cress)
Lineage: Eukaryota; Viridiplantae; Streptophyta; Magnoliopsida; Brassicales; Brassicaceae
Description: snRNA_02366
Source: RNAcentral